Podarcis raffonei (Aeolian wall lizard) is the source of this 867-nucleotide long non-coding RNA. RefSeq lists it as uncharacterized. The record is from RefSeq and is a predicted model, not a curated record. The transcript is spliced from 2 exons. Lineage: Eukaryota; Metazoa; Chordata; Lepidosauria; Squamata; Lacertidae.
GAAGGGCGUCCCUUUUUCCCCGCGCGCGAGGGAAGCGGCGGUUGAGGGAGACGCUGAGGGCAGAAAAGCGCGGGAAGAGCGGAGCGAACCAAGAAAUCGUUAUGUCAAAAAAAAGAAUUGAUUCUGAAAUAUUGAAACUGAAAUAUGGAUUGACAACUUGGCAAAAUACUUUUGUGAAGCAAGAGCAGCUAAAUAUAUCAUCAUUGCGAGCAAGUUUUCAAGUUGCCAAGCUGAUAGCAUGCACUGGCAGACCCUUUGUAGAGGGAGAAUUUGUUAAAGAGUGCAUUCUUUUUGCUUCCAAAGAGAUGUGUCCAGAGAAGACUGAUUUAUUUAGUACAUUGAGUCUUUCAGGAUGUACAGUUACACGUAGGAUUGACGAAAUGGGGGGAAAUUUGCAUCAACAUUGGCAAAACUCCUCAAAAAAAACUUUAUUUUUCAUUGGUACUUGACGAAAGCACUGAUGUUCAUGAUUCUGCACAAGUAAUUUCCAUUUGUGGGACAAAUGAUAAUUUUGAAGCCACAGAGGAGCUUGCUGCACUGCAAAGCACCAAGGGAACAACAACAGGAGAGGAUAUCUUUGAAAAAGUUUGCCAAACUGUGUGAUUUGGAUCUGGACUGGCUAAACUUGCCAGUGUGACAGCUGAUGGUGCUCCUAGCAUGAUGGGGUCUAUGAGAGGAGCGGCUGCAUGCAUUAACCAAGAGAUGGACAAACACAACCAUUCACAUCCAAUAGCCAUACACUGCCUCAUCCACCAACAAGCACCGUGUUGUAAAAAAUCACUGAAGUUUGACUCUGCCAUGAAAACUGUCGUAUCUUGUGUUAACUUCAUUAGAGCUUAUGCACUAAACCACAGUUAGUUUCAGGAA